This is a long non-coding RNA of Mauremys reevesii (Reeves's turtle), 552 nucleotides long. RefSeq lists it as uncharacterized. Lineage: Eukaryota; Metazoa; Chordata; Testudines; Geoemydidae. The record is from RefSeq and is a predicted model, not a curated record. The transcript has 3 exons.
CUGCUUGCACUUUUUCUACAUGGACGAGGAGAAGUGAUCUCUUUCCUUAGGCAUGUACCAUCUCAAGGUAAGGUAGGCCUGUUUUAAACCCACCUGCUAUCUUUGGCAAGCCAAUUUUCUUCCUUUGCAGACUGAACUAAAUCCAUUGUGACUCGGCCUCUAGGGUAAGGAACAAGAGCGAGGAUAAGAAUACAAGUAAGGGUGGAGAGGAGGACAGCAAGCCAGAAGGGAGCAUGGAUCUUUCAGCACUGAAUUCUCUUGGUAUUUUUCAUUUCUCAGUGUCAACAGCCUGCUUCACAGAUGGCAAAUUACACUUACUUCGGAUAUGAUUCUCAGCACAAUGAAGCAUAUCAGCUGCAUGAACAAACUGAUAUCCUGUUCCUCUCAUACACAGCUCUGCUUCAGUGUAUCCCAGCACAAUUUUUCCUCUGAAAGACAAGAAGGAAAACAAACUGUAGCACUACUGGUGUAUCAAUGUACAGUAUGAACACAGGAAUUAAUCAGUCAGGGCUAAACAUUUCUGCUACAGCAGAGUAUGUCAUCAGUAUUUAC